CCUACGGGAGGCAGCAGUGGGGAAUAUUGCACAAUGGGCGCAAGCCUGAUGCAGCGACGCCGCGUGCGGGAUGGAGGCCUUCGGGUUGUAAACCGCUUUUGUUCAAGGGCAAGGCACGGUCUUUGGCCGUGUUGCGUGGAUUGUUCGAAUAAGCACCGGCUAACUACGUUCCAGCAGCCGCGGUAAUACGUAGGGUGCAAGCGUUAUCCGGAUUUAUUGGGCGUAAAGGGUGCGUAGGCGGGCCGUUAAGUCAGCGGUAAAAUUGCGGGGCUCAACCCUGUCGAGCCGUUGAAACUGGCAGACUUGAGUGGGCGAGAAGUACGCGGAAUGCGCGGUGUAGCGGUGAAAUGCAUAGAUAUCGCGCAGAACUCCGAUUGCGAAGGCAGCGUACCGGCGCCAGACUGACGCUGAGGCACGAAAGCGUGGGGAUCGAACAGGAUUAGAUACCCGGGUAGUC
Molecule: ribosomal RNA, 457 nt
Filed under: uncultured bacterium
Lineage: Bacteria
Description: partial 16S ribosomal RNA
Rfam family: Bacterial small subunit ribosomal RNA
Source: RNAcentral